CCCCACUAAUGUUUUUUUGAUGUAAUUUUGCAUUGCAAGCCCAUGCUAAAGUGAAUAUGAGGAAUCCAAUCUUGCAUCCAUCUUCAAGAAGCGCUGAAAAUACUUGUUUUCUUUAUAACUAUUUAAUGAUUUAUAAAGUUUGAAAGAUAAUUAACAUCCAAAUAACAUGCACACAACAAAAUUUUCAAAAAGAAAAUAUAAAAAUAUUGAUCUUAAAAUUCUUAAAUUUCAUGAAGCAAAAAAAAAAACACUAUCAUAUACAUCAUUUACCAAAUGACAUAUUUAAUAACUUGGAUUGAAACAUGAGAAUAAUCUUAAUUUUCUAAGUUUUAAAUUUUUUGCAAGCCUGUGCAUAACAGUGAGUUAAUUAAACAUGCGAUCAUCGUAAUCUGUAACUUUUUCCUUUCUUCUUAAUCCCCUAAAAAGAUAAAAAAAAUCCCAAGCGAAUUAUAAAAGUUUCAUCCAACAAAGAUCUCUCUAAUUAUAUUCCCAUUUUCAAUACCAUUUUCACAAUACUAACUUAAUACAUAUAAUCCAAAAUUCAAUCUAAUUUUCAUCCAAAAGUUAAAACACUCCAUUUUCACAACACAAAUGUAAUUUUCAACACCCUUACAUACUUGAUGCCUAAUUAAAAGAAGUAUCGCACCUUAAAAGCCUUUGGUCGACACUCAUGUGUUUUGGAGACAACCAUGUGUCAUUGACCCCCAAUUAGACGUUCUGUCAUUCACUUCUUCUUCCGUAGCUACAAAAUGUAAAUAAAUGUCAAAUGUUAAAAAUGAGAUCAACAGGUGUACCAAUUGAAAUGAACAAUAAUUGAUCUUGAUUGGGAGUCCUCCAAAUUAUGUUUAGGAGUGGAGGCUGAAUUCAAGAUUCUUUAUGAAGCCUAAACCACUAGAAAACCAAAUUAAGACAGAUAAACAAUAAAGUUUAACAUACAUAGUAGAAAAACAGCUGGAGUAGACAUAAUAUAGAGCAAAGAGGGGAGAACUGAUACUUAGCAAACCCAGAUUAAAGCUCGUUUACACUUGAUUACAUCAUAAAGGAGAAAGAGCAAUGCAGUGGGUCUCCACCUGUUGUUUGUUGUUGAUUCUAGAACUACACUUCAUCCUAUAUCCAUCUUUGUCACUUCUUUGGUUGGAUUUCACAAAUGAACAAAAAAAGACUUUAUUAACCGAAAGCAAGUUCCUUUCUUUAACAUAUGAGUACACAGAACAAACUCUUCAAAAGUCAUAAACUAAAAAAAAUGUUAAGAUUUUAUGCAUUCACUUCCCCCAAAAUUUCGAUCAGAUAAAAAAUGAUUUAGAAAUUUGAGGGCACCGUUCACAUCUGAAGAGCAAAGAGAAGCUAAAAUGAAAAAUCCAAACUUGAAAAUUCUAUUCGAUUUUAUGUGGGUAUCUUUUUUAAAUAUAACCCAUUAACCAACAGAUUCUAUAAGAGAGAAAUCACACAAUCUUACGGUUGUUUCUUAGAGAGAGAUGUAAAUAGAAGGGUAAGGAAAAAGAAGUGUGUCGCAUUUGAGAGGAACCACAUGAGAAGAAGAGAGAUAGAAGCAGACCAUGACGAAAAGCAAAAUAGACGAAGGAUUACCUAGAAGAGGCCAACGAAAUCUGAUGAAUCAAAGAGACGACAAGUGGAAGGAUCUGGUAGGAUGAGUCAAAGGUGAUGGAAGAAACUCGAUCAAUCGUUGGGCUAAGAAGCGGUUGGGUUCUUUGAAGAAAAAGGAAUCAAGCAUCAGUCGGUGUAAUGUAGUAGAUAACAGUGGGACGGUGGCGUCAGAGGGAGAAUCGGUUGGACUGAGGAGGUGCAAGGACGUCGUAAAAAGAGAGAAUAAUUCGACAGUGGUAGGCGACACCACUCAUAGUGGGAGAGGCUUCAAGAAAAACAGAAGACAGGAAGUGAAAAACACCACUCCGAUAACAAGUAAAAAGAAAGGUAAAAAAAUGACACCGAUGAGCGAUUGGGGGCUCUCCGACGUUAAAAGGAGAAAAUAUUGUGGAUGGGUGGGGGAAGAAAGAUGAGGAGAUUAGAAGCGAUAAGCAAAUAUGGAUCAAUGCUAUUGAAACUUAGAGGUGGUGUAGCAAAGGUGCA
Molecule: long non-coding RNA, 2088 nt
Filed under: Lactuca sativa (garden lettuce)
Lineage: Eukaryota; Viridiplantae; Streptophyta; Magnoliopsida; Asterales; Asteraceae
Description: long non-coding RNA (LSAT_LNC008179)
Source: RNAcentral